This 256-nucleotide ribosomal RNA is filed under the name Streptomyces sp. ISO219_OTU420. Its description in RNAcentral is "partial 16S ribosomal RNA". It matches the Rfam family "Bacterial small subunit ribosomal RNA", at positions 29 to 289 of the family's 1533-position model. RNAcentral also lists the same sequence under 4 other names. The record is from RNAcentral. Lineage: Bacteria; Bacillati; Actinomycetota; Actinomycetes; Kitasatosporales; Streptomycetaceae.
ACGAACGCUGGCGGCGUGCUUAACACAUGCAAGUCGAACGAUGAAGCCCUUCGGGGUGGAUUAGUGGCGAACGGGUGAGUAACACGUGGGCAAUCUGCCCUUCACUCUGGGACAAGCCCUGGAAACGGGGUCUAAUACCGGAUAACACUCUCCUCCUCCUGGGGGUGGGUUAAAAGCUCCGGCGGUGAAGGAUGAGCCCGCGGCCUAUCAGCUUGUUGGUGGGGUAAUGGCCUACCAAGGCGACGACGGGUAGCCG